UUAAGUGUAAUGGGGCAACCUCCUCACUGGAUGGACUAAACGUGUCUUUGAACAGGAUUUCCCCCCAAGCUCAGUACAGCUCAAUACUCGGUCCUCCUGAACCAACCCUAUCAACGGACGCCUGGGUUCAGCAGAGAUGAUCUUCAAAACGCCGGAGCAUGCCUGUGUCCUGAAUUUUUUGGAACACAAUCAUGUUUUUUUUAAGCCACACAGGGAGACCCACACAGUUUUUGUACUUUAUUUAAUAAAUAACUCAUAAACAGCACGGAGAGAGAACACGGUAUUGAAAUAAAAGGCACUUUAAGAACAA
Xiphias gladius (swordfish) is the source of this 310-nucleotide long non-coding RNA. RefSeq lists it as uncharacterized. The record is from RefSeq and is a predicted model, not a curated record. The transcript is spliced from 2 exons. Lineage: Eukaryota; Metazoa; Chordata; Actinopteri; Istiophoriformes; Xiphiidae.